GACGAACGCUGGCGGCGUGCUUAACACAUGCAAGUCGAACGCUGAAGCCUAGCUUGCUGGGUGGAUGAGUGGCGAACGGGUGAGUAACACGUGAGUAACCUGCCCUCUUCUUUGGGAUAACGCCCGGAAACGGGUGCUAAUACUGGAUAUUCACUGAUCUUCGCAUGGGGGUUGGUGGAAAGGUUUUUUCUGGUGGGGGAUGGGCUCGCGGCCUAUCAGCUUGUUGGUGGGGUGAUGGCCUACCAAGGCUUUGACGGGUAGCCGGCCUGAGAGGGUGACCGGUCACAUUGGGACUGAGAUACGGCCCAGACUCCUACGGGAGGCAGCAGUGGGGAAUAUUGCACAAUGGGCGAAAGCCUGAUGCAGCGACGCCGCGUGAGGGAUGGAGGCCUUCGGGUUGUAAACCUCUUUCGCUCAUGGUCAAGCCGCAACGCUGGUUGUGGUGAGGGUAGUGGGUAAAGAAGCGCCGGCUAACUACGUGCCAGCAGCCGCGGUAAUACGUAGGGCGCGAGCGUUGUCCGGAAUUAUUGGGCGUAAAGGGCUUGUAUGCGGUUGGUCGCGUCUGCCGUGAAAUCCUCUGGCUUAACUGGGGGCGUGCGGUGGGUACGGGCUGACUUGAGUGCGGUAGGGUAGACUGGAACUCCUGGUGUAGCGUUGGAAUGCGCAGAUAUCAUGAAGAACACCGGUGGCGAAGGCGGUUCUCUGGGCCGUUACUGACGCUGAGGAGCUAAAGCUUGAGUAGCGAACAGG
RNAcentral lists this ribosomal RNA (750 nucleotides) under uncultured Actinomyces sp. RNAcentral describes it as "bacterial SSU rRNA". It matches the Rfam family "Bacterial small subunit ribosomal RNA", at positions 28 to 776 of the family's 1533-position model. Lineage: Bacteria; Bacillati; Actinomycetota; Actinomycetes; Actinomycetales; Actinomycetaceae. The record is from RNAcentral.